CCGACCCCCUUACAGUGCCCAGUUCUCUAAGGGAGAGGGGAAUCCCAGCACACCAUGGAAAUGGGUCUGAUCAGAUCUGUGCUCCCCUCUAGAUGAGCAUACUAGGAAGGCUUCUUCAGCAGUUUGGCUUAAUGAAGAUUUCCAGGGUCUUAACCCUCCAGCAGGUGUGUCUGCAGGAAAGACUUUUCAGGCUCCUUUCCUGGUUGCUGCACACAAGCCCCGCUCCCAUGGCAGGGGUCCUCCGAGAGGGAGGAACAAACCUAGAGGAGACAGCAAGUCCCUGGAGGCAUCCAAACAGAUGGACAGGAUCUGGAGUGACCUGGAGAGACAACGUGGUGGGUGCAUUUCCCUCAUGCUUCCCCUGGGACUCAGC
This is a long non-coding RNA of Passer domesticus (house sparrow), 373 nucleotides long. RefSeq lists it as uncharacterized. Lineage: Eukaryota; Metazoa; Chordata; Aves; Passeriformes; Passeridae. The record is from RefSeq and is a predicted model, not a curated record. The transcript is spliced from 3 exons.